RNAcentral lists this ribosomal RNA (253 nucleotides) under uncultured bacterium. RNAcentral's name for it is "partial 16S ribosomal RNA". It matches the Rfam family "Bacterial small subunit ribosomal RNA", at positions 524 to 776 of the family's 1533-position model. The record is from RNAcentral.
AACGUAGGACGCAAGCGUUAUCCGGAGUUACUGGGCGUAAAGCGCGGGCAGGCGGUUCUGCCAGUCUGAUGUGAAAUCUCCUCGCUCAACGGGGAGCAGCCAUUGGAAACUACAGAACUGGAGUCUGGCAGAGGUAGGCGGAAUUCCGGGUGGAGUGGUGAAAUGCGUAGAGAUCCGGAGGAACACCAGAGGCGAAGGCGGCCUACUGGGCCAGUACUGACGCUGAGGUGCGAAAGCGUGGGGAGCAAACAGG